RNAcentral lists this ribosomal RNA (497 nucleotides) under uncultured bacterium. Its description in RNAcentral is "partial 16S ribosomal RNA". It matches the Rfam family "Bacterial small subunit ribosomal RNA", at positions 28 to 507 of the family's 1533-position model. The record is from RNAcentral.
GACGAACGCUGGCGGCGUGCCUAAUACAUGCAAGUAGAACGCUGAAGAGAGGAGCUUACUCUUCUUGGAUGAGUUGCGAACGGGUGAGUAACGCGUAGGUAACCUGCCUUGUAGCGGGGGAUAACUAUUGGAAACGAUAGCUAAUACCGCAUAACAAUGGAUGACACGUGUCAUUUAUUUGAAAGGGGCAAUUGCUCCACUACAAGAUGGACCUGCGUUGUAUUAGCUAGUAGGUGAGGUAAUGGCUCACCUAGGCGACGAUACAUAGCCGACCUGAGAGGGUGAUCGGCCACACUGGGACUGAGACACGGCCCAGACUCCUACGGGAGGCAGCAGUAGGGAAUCUUCGGCAAUGGGGGCAACCCUGACCGAGCAACGCCGCGUGAGUGAAGAAGGUUUUCGGAUCGUAAAGCUCUGUUGUAAGUCAAGAACGGGUGUGAGAGUGGAAAGUUCACACUGUGACGGUAGCUUACCAGAAAGGGACGGCUAACUACGUG